AUUGAACGCUGGCGGCAUGCUUUACACAUGCAAGUCGAACGGUAACAGGUUAAGCUGACGAGUGGCGAACGGGUGAGUAAUGCAUCGGAACGUGCCCGAUCGUGGGGGAUAACGCAGCGAAAGCUGCGCUAAUACCGCAUACGAUCUGAGGAUGAAAGCGGGGGACCGUAAGGCCUCGCGCGAUCGGAGCGGCCGAUGUCAGAUUAGGUAGUUGGUGGGGUAAAGGCUCACCAAGCCAACGAUCUGUAGCUGGUCUGAGAGGACGACCAGCCACCCUGGGACGGAGACACGGCCCAGACUCCUGCGGGAGGCAGCAGUGGGGAAUUUUGGACAAUGGGCGAAAGCCUGAUCCAGCAAUGCCGCGUGCAGGAAGAAGGCCUUCGGGUUGUAAACUGCUUUUGUACGGAGCGAAAAGGCCCUCUCUAAUACAGUGGGCUCAUGACGGUACCGUAAGAAUAAGCACCGGCUAACUACGUGCCAGCCGCCGCAGUAA
Molecule: ribosomal RNA, 493 nt
Filed under: uncultured bacterium
Lineage: Bacteria
Description: partial 16S ribosomal RNA
Rfam family: Bacterial small subunit ribosomal RNA
Source: RNAcentral